UACGUAGGGGGCAAGCGUUAUCCGGAUUUACUGGGUGUAAAGGGAGCGUAGACGGCUUUGCAAGCCAGAUGUGAAAGCCCGGGGCUCAACCCCGGGACUGCAUUUGGAACUGCGUGGCUAGAGUGUCGGAGAGGCAGGCGGAAUUCCUAGUGUAGCGGUGAAAUGCGUAGAUAUUAGGAGGAACACCAGUGGCGAAGGCGGCCUGCUGGACGAUGACUGACGUUGAGGCUCGAAAGCGUGGGGAGCGAACAGG
This 253-nucleotide ribosomal RNA is filed under the name uncultured bacterium. Its description in RNAcentral is "partial 16S ribosomal RNA". It matches the Rfam family "Bacterial small subunit ribosomal RNA", at positions 524 to 776 of the family's 1533-position model. The record is from RNAcentral.